Molecule: ribosomal RNA, 253 nt
Filed under: uncultured bacterium
Lineage: Bacteria
Description: partial 16S ribosomal RNA
Rfam family: Bacterial small subunit ribosomal RNA
Source: RNAcentral
UACGAAGGGUGCAAGCGUUAUCCGGAUUCACUGGGUUUAAAGGGUGCGUAGGUGGGCAGGUAAGUCAGUGGUGAAAUCUCCGGGCUUAACUCGGAAACUGCCAUUGAUACUAUCUGUCUUGAAUACCGUGGAGGUUAGCGGAAUAUGUCAUGUAGCGGUGAAAUGCUUAGAUAUGACAUAGAACACCAAUUGCGAAGGCAGCUGGCUACACGAAUAUUGACACUGAUGCACGAAAGCGUGGGGAUCAAACAGG